RNAcentral lists this signal recognition particle RNA (299 nucleotides) under Prolemur simus (greater bamboo lemur). Its description in RNAcentral is "Metazoan signal recognition particle RNA (ENSPSMG00000009037.1)". It matches the Rfam family "Metazoan signal recognition particle RNA". From Rfam's summary of the family: The signal recognition particle (SRP) is a universally conserved ribonucleoprotein. The record is from RNAcentral. Lineage: Eukaryota; Metazoa; Chordata; Mammalia; Primates; Lemuridae.
GCCUGGCCUAUCGGCACGUGCCUAUAGUCCCAGCUACUCAGGAGGCUGAGGUGAUAGGCUCGCUUGAGCCCAGGAGUUCUGGGCUAUAUUGUGCUAUGCUGAUCGGAUGUCUGCACUAAGUUCAGCUUCAAUAUGGUGACCUCCCAGGAGUGGGGAACCACCAGGUUGCCUAAGGAGGGGCAAACCAACCCAGGUAGGAAAUGGAGCAGAUCAGAACUUCUGUGCCGAUCAGUGGUGGGAAGGUGCCUGUAGCUGGCCACUGCACCCCAGCCUGGGCAACAUAGCAAGACCUCAUCUCU